GAGAGCUUAAAACCAGCCACCCAGAACCACUCUGCCUGGAGAAAGAAGACAAUAUUUGGCAUGAUUUGCUUCAUCUACUACAGGUGACUCCGUCAGGACACCAGGAACAUGAUUGCAGUCCAGGAUACCAUACUGCAACCUCAAUCCAUCGAAUUAAACAGCAUCAAUCAUAGGGUAGGAAAGGCGCGCCAAGGCAUCGCCAAAGCCCAAGCCCGAGACUCCGGCCAAUCGAACUCGGCAGCCCCCGUCUUGGCGAUCUCGCGACUCUGGCCAUGUAGGAGCUCGGUCAAAAAUCACCUAAGAAAAAUAUGUCGUUCUUCUCUACAAGGGUUGCAUGUGGAAUCUGAGGAGAAUCUGUGCACCAGCGUCCGACUCCUUGAUGUUGCUCUGAUCAUAUUGUGUAAAUAUAUUUCUAAUAAAGCAAUCGCCCGAUGGUGUACAUGUUAGAAAUAACAAGAUGUAAUCAUCAAGUGUGAGAGAUGGCAACAUCAUGAUGGGAUGAACUAAAACCUGUCCAUGGAUUACCUUCAGUCCCACAUUCCAAUCAACAACAUUGGGCCGAGCGAGCGCGCGGGUGGCGCAAGAGGCAAUGGGCAGCCGGUGGAGAUUGAGUGGCGAGCGGCGGUGGCGAGGUCGAGCGGUUGGCACCAGCGGCGAGUAGGCAAUUACCGUGAUGGGCGAGCGGACGGG
Triticum aestivum (bread wheat) is the source of this 690-nucleotide long non-coding RNA. RefSeq lists it as uncharacterized. The record is from RefSeq and is a predicted model, not a curated record. The transcript has 5 exons. Lineage: Eukaryota; Viridiplantae; Streptophyta; Magnoliopsida; Poales; Poaceae.